GAGAUAUUAGUAAAAUACAAUUACACCGCCUUGUCAAGGCGAAGUUGUGAGUUAAACUCUCACAUAUCUUA
This 71-nucleotide transfer RNA is filed under the name Rasboroides vaterifloris (pearly rasbora). RNAcentral describes it as "tRNA-Asp". It matches the Rfam family "tRNA". Rfam says of the family: Transfer RNA (tRNA) molecules are approximately 80 nucleotides in length. Their secondary structure includes four short double-helical elements and three loops (D, anti-codon, and T loops). The record is from RNAcentral. Lineage: Eukaryota; Metazoa; Chordata; Actinopteri; Cypriniformes; Danionidae.